This 1258-nucleotide long non-coding RNA is filed under the name Vulpes vulpes (red fox). RNAcentral describes it as "lncRNA (ENSVVUG00000001532.1)". The record is from RNAcentral. Lineage: Eukaryota; Metazoa; Chordata; Mammalia; Carnivora; Canidae.
GAGAGAUUGAGAGUGAGUGCACAAGCAGGGGGAGAGGCAGAAGGAGAUGGAGAAGCAGACUCCCCACUGAGCAGGGAGCCCAUCAUAGGACCCGUAGGACUUGAGCCCAGGAUUGUGACCUGAGCCGAAGGCAGACACUUAACCAACUGAGCCAACUGGUUGCCCCCUCCCUCACUUUUCUGACUGAGAUUCUUGGCUAUUGUUUUUUCUUUCUUUUAUGCCUUUUUUUUUGUAUUUUUUUUAUUGGAGUUUUUUUUUUAAUAUUUUAUUUAUUUAUUCAUAGAGACACAGCUAGAGAGAGAGAGGCAGAGACACAGGCAGAGGGAGAAGCAGGCACCAUGCAGGGAGCCUGAUGUGGGACUCGAUCCCGGUCCUCCAGGAUCACACCCUGGGCUGCAGGCGGCGCUAAACCGCUGCGCCACCGGGGCUGCCCUUUUAUUGGAGUUUGAUUUGCCAACAUAUAGUAUAACACCCAAUGCUCAUCCCAUUUUCAAUGCUCAAUUCUUUCUGGUCUCCUAGCAACUUGUCCUUCCUUACUGGCCUCUCUUACCACCCCGGGGUUCCACCCAGCCACCUGCCCAGACUACAAACUAACCUUUCCCUCCUUAUCUUCAUUUUUCUUCUUCCUCGGAUCUUUCUUUGUAAGAAUAUCCCAUGACUGAGGCAACAGCUCCCAUUCGUGGUCAUGUAAAAAGUGUUUGUGGGAGCAGGAGUGGGGGUAUUGGGGAAAGUGAAAUAUUAAUGAGGGAGACAGAAGGUGGAGUGUGCCCUGACCUGGACCACACAUCUCAUCUUAGAACUCUCACAGAGUGUCCUUCUUCACCUUGUCCCUCACAGUUAUGUGUCCUAGGUCCCUGGUUCAAUACGACUGCCUUCUUUUCUGGACUCAAGAAGAGAGCAGAUUUCUCCAUCUACCCUUCUUAUAUGCUAAUGACCUCAAAACUGUGUCCAUAAAGCAGGAGUCUUGCUGCUGGUGGAGGAUUUGGAUUCAUCUGGUCAGUGCCUCAUUGACCUCAGACCACCCUUGUCUUGCCAAGGACUCCUGUAUCUGGGGGCUUUAGCUGCUGACCUGUUGCCUGAUAGUUUUUCCUCACCAUGGGUAAGCUUUCCUUGUUUUUGAAUCCAUUACUUUAGUUCCAUUCUUAAGCCAAACUGUUUUAUUCUGUUGUUGAAAUUCACUGCAGAGCAUAUUGCAUGAGAUUCACAUUUUUACCUACUUUUUUAAACUACUUCUAAUAAAAUGAGAUGAUAAUUUUUU